AACGUAGGAGACAAACGUUAUCCGGAGUUACUGGGCGUAAAGGGCGUGCAGGUGGCGUUAUAAGUCUGACGUGAAAGCACACGGCUUAACCGGGUGAUUGCGUUGGAUACUGUAAAGCUAGAGGACGGUAGAGGCGUGUGGAAUUCCGGGUGUAGUGGUGAAAUGCGUAGAUAUCCGGAGGAACACCAGUGGCGAAGGCGACACGCUGGGCCGUACCUGACACUGAGACGCGACAGCAUGGGGAGCAAACGGG
RNAcentral lists this ribosomal RNA (253 nucleotides) under uncultured bacterium. RNAcentral describes it as "partial 16S ribosomal RNA". It matches the Rfam family "Bacterial small subunit ribosomal RNA", at positions 524 to 776 of the family's 1533-position model. The record is from RNAcentral.